UGUCGAUCCAUGCGGUCCAGCGGAGUAAAGGAGCUUGCUCCCGGAUGUUAGCGGCGGACGGGUGAGUAACACGUGGGUAACCUGCCUGUAAGACUGGGAUAACUCCGGGAAACCGGAGCUAAUACCGGAUAGUUCCUUGAACCGCAUGGUUCAAGGAUGAAAGACGGUUUCGGCUGUCACUUACAGAUGGACCCGCGGCGCAUUAGCUAGUUGGUGAGGUAACGGCUCACCAAGGCGACGAUGCGUAGCCGACCUGAGAGGGUGAUCGGCCACACUGGGACUGAGACACGGCCCAGACUCCUACGGGAGGCAGCAGUAGGGAAUCUUCCGCAAUGGACGAAAGUCUGACGGAGCAACGCCGCGUGAGUGAUGAAGGUUUUCGGAUCGUAAAGCUCUGUUGUUAGGGAAGAACAAGUGCAAGAGUAACUGCUUGCACCUUGACGGUACCUAACCAGAAAGCCACGGCUAACUACGUGCCAGCAGCCGCGGUAAUACGUAGGUGGCAAGCGUUGUCCGGAAUUAUUGGGCGUAAAGGGCUCGCAGGCGGUUUCUUAAGUCUGAUGUGAAAGCCCCCGGCUCAACCGGGGAGGGUCAUUGGAAACUGGGAAACUUGAGUGCAGAAGAGGAGAGUGGAAUUCCACGUGUAGCGGUGAAAUGCGUAGAGAUGUGGAGGAACACCAGUGGCGAAGGCGACUCUCUGGUCUGUAACUGACGCUGAGGAGCGAAAGCGUGAGGAGCGAACAGGAUUAGAUACCCUGGUAGUCCACGCCGUAAACGAUGAGUGCUAAGUGUUAGGGGGUUUCCGCCCCUUAGUGCUGCAGCUAACGCAUUAAGCACUCCGCCUGGGGAGUACGGUCGCAAGACUGAAACUCAAAGGAAUUGACGGGGGCCCGCACAAGCGGUGGAGCAUGUGGUUUAAUUCAAAGCAACGCGAAGAAACUUACCAGGUCUUGACAUCCUCUGACAACCCUAGAGAUAGGGCUUUCCCUUCGGGGACAGAGUGACAGGUGGUGCAUGGUUGUCGUCAGCUCGUGUCGUGAGAUGUUGGGUUAAGUCCCGCAACGAGCGCAACCCUUGAUCUUAGUUGCCAGCAUUCAGUUGGGCACUCUAAGGUGACUGCCGGUGACAAACCGGAGGAAGGUGGGGAUGACGUCAAAUCAUCAUGCCCCUUAUGACCUGGGCUACACACGUGCUACAAUGGACAGAACAAAGGGCUGCGAGACCGCAAGGUUUAGCCAAUCCCACAAAUCUGUUCUCAGUUCGGAUCGCAGUCUGCAACUCGACUGCGUGAAGCUGGAAUCGCUAGUAAUCGCGGAUCAGCAUGCCGCGGUGAAUACGUUCCCGGGCCUUGUACACACCGCCCGUCACACCACGAGAGUUUGCAACACCCGAUGUCGGUGAGGUAACCUUUGGGAGCCAGCCGCCGAAAGGUUGGGGCCC
This 1440-nucleotide ribosomal RNA is filed under the name Bacillus pumilus. RNAcentral describes it as "bacterial SSU rRNA". It matches the Rfam family "Bacterial small subunit ribosomal RNA". Lineage: Bacteria; Bacillati; Bacillota; Bacilli; Caryophanales; Bacillaceae. The record is from RNAcentral.